RNAcentral lists this ribosomal RNA (253 nucleotides) under uncultured bacterium. Its description in RNAcentral is "partial 16S ribosomal RNA". It matches the Rfam family "Bacterial small subunit ribosomal RNA", at positions 524 to 776 of the family's 1533-position model. The record is from RNAcentral.
UACGAAGGGGGCUAGCGUUGUUCGGAAUUACUGGGCGUAAAGGGCGCGUAGGCGGCCUUCUAAGUCGAACGUGAAAUCCCCGGGCUCAACCCGGGAACUGCGUCCGAUACUGGAAGGCUUGAAUCCGGGAGAGGGAUGCGGAAUUCCAGGUGUAGCGGUGAAAUGCGUAGAUAUCUGGAGGAACACCGGUGGCGAAGGCGGCAUCCUGGACCGGUAUUGACGCUGAGGCGCGAAAGCCAGGGGAGCAAACGGG